UACGUAAGUGGCGAGCAUUAUCCGGAUUUAUUGGGCAUAAAGAGCAUGUAGGUGGUAAUUUAAGUCAGAUGUUAAAUCCCAUAGCUUAACUAUGGUCUGCAUUUGAAACUGAGUUACUAGAGGUUAGUAGAGGGAAGUGGAAUUCAUGGUGUAGCGGUGAAAUGCGUAGAUAUCAUGAGGAACACCAGUGGCGAAGGCGACUUCCUGGACUAAAUCUGACACUGAGAUGCGAAAGCGUGGGGAGCGAACG
RNAcentral lists this ribosomal RNA (250 nucleotides) under uncultured bacterium. RNAcentral's name for it is "partial 16S ribosomal RNA". It matches the Rfam family "Bacterial small subunit ribosomal RNA", at positions 524 to 774 of the family's 1533-position model. The record is from RNAcentral.